UUUCGGUGUCCCGUAGGAUGGACCCCGGUGCAUUAGUUAGUUGUGAAGUAACGGUUACCAAUGCCCCGAUGAUAGCCGACUUAAAGGUGAUCGCCACCAUGGGACUGAGACACGGCCCAGAUUCCUACGGGAGGCAGCAGUAGGAAUCUUCGGCAAUGAACGAAAGUCUUACCGAGCAACGCCGCGUGAGUGAAGAAGGUUUUCGGAUCGUAAAACUCUGUUGUUAGAGAAGAACAAGGACGUUAGUAACUGAACGUCCCCUGACGGUAUUUAAUCAGAAAGCCACGGCUAACUACGUGCCAGCAGCCGCGGUAAUACGUAGGUGGCAAGCGUUGUCCGGAUUUAUUGGGCGUAAAGCGAGCGCAGGCGGUUUCUUAAGUCUGAUGUGAAAGCCCCCGGCUCAACCGGGGAGGGUCAUUGGAAACUGGGAGACUUGAGUGCAGAAGAGGAGAGUGGAAUUCCAUGUGUAGCGGUGAAAUGCGUAGAUAUAUGGAGGAACACCAGUGGCGAAGGCGGCUCUCUGGUCUGUAACUGACGCUGAGGCUCGAAAGCGUGGGGAGCAAACAGGAUUAGAUACCCUGGUAGUCCACGCCGUAAACGAUGAGUGCUAAGUGUUGGAGGGUUUCCGCCCUUCAGUGCUGCAGCAAACGCAUUAAGCACUCCGCCUGGGGAGUACGACCGCAAGGUUGAAACUCUUAGGAAUUGACGGGGGCCCGCACAAGCGGUGGAGCAUGUGGUUUAAUUCGAAGCAACGCGAAGAACCUUACCAGGUCUUGACAUCCUUUGACCACUCUAGAGAUAGAGCUUUCCCUUCGGGGACAAAGUGACAGGUGGUGCAUGGUUGUCGUCAGCUCGUGUCGUGAGAUGUUGGGUUAAGUCCCGCAACGAGCGCAACCCUUAUUGUUAGUUGCCAUCAUUUAGUUGGGCACUCUAGCGAGACUGCCGGUGACAAACCGGAGGAAGGUGGGGAUGACGUCAAAUCAUCAUGCCCCUUAUGACCUGGGCUACACACGUGCUACAAUGGGAAGUACAACGAGUCGCUAGACCGCGAGGUCAUGCAAAUCUCUUAAAGCUUCUCUCAGUUCGGAUUGCAGGCUGCAACUCGCCUGCAUGAAGCCGGAAUCGCUAGUAAUCGCGGAUCAGCACGCCGCGGUGAAUACGUUCCCGGGCCUUGUACACACCGCCCGUCACACCACGAGAGUUUGUAACACCCGAAGUCGGUGAGGUAACCUUUUUGGAGCCAGCCGCGUAA
RNAcentral lists this ribosomal RNA (1252 nucleotides) under Enterococcus faecalis. Its description in RNAcentral is "bacterial SSU rRNA". It matches the Rfam family "Bacterial small subunit ribosomal RNA", at positions 209 to 1460 of the family's 1533-position model. The record is from RNAcentral. Lineage: Bacteria; Bacillati; Bacillota; Bacilli; Lactobacillales; Enterococcaceae.